Molecule: ribosomal RNA, 753 nt
Filed under: uncultured bacterium
Lineage: Bacteria
Description: bacterial SSU rRNA
Rfam family: Bacterial small subunit ribosomal RNA
Source: RNAcentral
AGAGUUUGAUCAUGGCUCAGAACGAACGCUGGCGGCAUUGCCUAACACAUGCAAGUCGAACGUGAUCCGGGCUUCGGCCUGGUGAAAGUGGCAGACGGGUGAGUAACGCGUGGGAACCUGCCCUGUGGUAGGGAAUAACCGUGGGAAACUGCGGCUAAUACCCUAUGAGUCCUUCGGGAGAAAGAUUUAUCGCCAUAGGAGGGGCCCGCGUCGGAUUAGGUAGUUGGUGGGGUAACGGCCUACCAAGCCUUCGAUCCGUAGCUGGUCUGAGAGGAUGAUCAGCCACACUGGGACUGAGAUACGGCCCAGACUCCUACGGGAGGCAGCAGUGGGGAAUAUUGGACAAUGGGGGCAACCCUGAUCCAGCAAUGCCGCGUGGAUGAUGAAGGCCUUCGGGUUGUAAAGUCCUUUCGGCGGGGAAGAUGAUGACGGUACCCGCAGAAGAAGCCCCGGCUAACUUCGUGCCAGCAGCCGCGGUAAUACGAAGGGGGCUAGCGUUGUUCGGAAUUACUGGGCGUAAAGGGCGCGUAGGCUGUGCUGUAAGUCAGGCGUGAAAGCCCCGGGCUCAACCUGGGAAUUGCGCUUGAUACUGCGGCGCUGGAAGGUGGGAGAGGAUGGCGGAAUUCCCAGUGUAGAGGUGAAAUUCGUAGAUAUUGGGAAGAACACCGGUGGCGAAGGCGGCCAUCUGGCCCACAUUUGACGCUGAGGCGCGAAAGCGUGGGGAGCAAACAGGAUUAGAUACCCCCGUAGUCC